GCAGUGGUGGAUCAGUGGUAGAAUUCUUGCCUUCCAUGCGGGACGCCUGGGUUUGAUUCCUGGUCAGUGCA
This 71-nucleotide transfer RNA is filed under the name Loxodonta africana (African savanna elephant). It matches the Rfam family "tRNA". From Rfam's summary of the family: Transfer RNA (tRNA) molecules are approximately 80 nucleotides in length. Their secondary structure includes four short double-helical elements and three loops (D, anti-codon, and T loops). The record is from Rfam by way of RNAcentral. Lineage: Eukaryota; Metazoa; Chordata; Mammalia; Proboscidea; Elephantidae.